Molecule: long non-coding RNA, 1238 nt
Organism: Pieris napi
Lineage: Eukaryota; Metazoa; Arthropoda; Insecta; Lepidoptera; Pieridae
Exons: 2
Source: RefSeq, a predicted model, not a curated record
UUAUACAGUAAAUAUCAAUAAAAAUUCAAUUACAUUGUGAAAUUGCAUUUUAUUAACCAAGAAACAAUUGAAGUAGUAACUCGCUCCACUGACUAUAUUCAAUAACAUGAAGUUAACCACAUUUUAUUUUAUGUUAUUGGUAAUAAAUCUUGCGUAUUGUGCGCUGUACAAGUCGCGUGAUAAUGAAAUUGGUGCUGGUGAGAGCAAAACGACAUUAGCAGUACAAAUACGACGUAUCUUGUCUCAGCUGAAUGCAAAGCACGGUGAAAAUAAUUUUAAAUCAAUAUUGAAGCAAUUAAAAGAUAUUUAUCAAACAUCCUCUACAACAGAAAGCUCUAAAUGUGGAAAACACAAAUAAACUUUUAUUUAAAUGUUGCAUAUGUACCAGCGGUAAGAGGAGAUUUUAUAUUUAUUAUAGGACUUAUAAUUUUCAAUAGUAGCUAUCUCCUUGUGGUUCUUACACCAUAGACUACUGCUCUACUGCAUCUACUAUCUAAUCUACUGCUGUAUAGCUAGAUUGCAUAAAAGACAGAAUAAUAAUAUUUAUAAGUUCAGCCAUAAAGUAUUUAAUAGUAAUAAGUUUCUAUUGCAAAAGUUUCUCGAAGAAAAUAAAAGUCAAUGUCACAAAAUUAUCUUUCAAUCUACUUUGAUAAUGUUAAAUAAAUUUAAAAAGAAUUAAAAAAAACGCAAAAUGUAUUCAAAUGAAUUUCGACCUUAUUUUAUUUUAAUUAAAAAAGAAGAAGAAAAGGGUGAAAAAUUCGCGAGAAUAACGAUGGAAGUGAAACAUCGUGCGACAAAGGAACCCAUUAAUCCCUUCACCAAGAAAACUGUAUACACACAAACAUAUCCCACAAAACUAAUCCCGGCUGCCCCUAGAAAAGCCUGCUGCUACUAUUGUACCGCCUAAUCCAAAGCUGAAAUUAUGCAAGUAAACUCUGAAGAUAAUUUUCUGAAAAAAAGGAAGAGGCCUCUCGUCCACAUUCUUGGGAUCCUGUGGAGUAGAUCGUUGGGUAAUAUCUUAGGCUCCUCUAUGAGACUGAUCUCCUGCCACAAAAUGUCGAGCAACAUGUAUAUAUUUUGUUUGCAAUCAUAUUAUCAUAUAUCAGACUAUCUGUCGAUACAAUUAUGUGAUGAGAGUUUUGUGGCCCGUAGUAAAAAAGAAAGUAUGGAAGAUGUUUUUGAUGACGCCGAUUUUUGAUACCUGAUAAAAUUUUAUUGCAAUAUAUUUAUGAGUUUAU